UGUGGAAUAUUGCACAAUGGGCGCAAGCCUGAUGCAGCCAUGCCGCGUGUAUGAAGAAGGCCUUCGGGUUGUAAAGUACUUUCAGCGGGGAGGAAGGGAGUAAAGUUAAUACCUUUGCUCAUUGACGUUACCCGCAGAAGAAGCACCGGCUAACUCCGUGCCAGCAGUCGCGGUAAUAUGGAGGGUGCAAGAGUUAAUCGGAAUUACUGGGCGUAAAGCGCACGCAGGCGGUUUGUUAAGUCAGAUGUGAAAUCCCCGGGCUCAACCUGGGAACUGCAUCUGAUACUGGCAAGCUUGAGUCUCCUAGAGGGGGGUAGAAUUCCAGGUGUGGCGGUGAAAUGAGUAGAGAUCUGGAGGAAUACCGGUGGCGAAGGCGGCCCCCUAGACAAAGACUGACGCUCAGGUGCGAAAGCGUCGGGAGCAAACAGG
RNAcentral lists this ribosomal RNA (429 nucleotides) under Chloroflexota bacterium. Its description in RNAcentral is "Chloroflexi bacterium partial 16S ribosomal RNA". It matches the Rfam family "Bacterial small subunit ribosomal RNA", at positions 355 to 776 of the family's 1533-position model. The record is from RNAcentral. Lineage: Bacteria; Bacillati; Chloroflexota.